GUAGGGAAUCUUCCACAAUGGACGCAAGUCUGAUGGAGCAACGCCGCGUGAGUGAAGAAGGCUUUCGGGUCGUAAAACUCUGUUGUUGAAGAAGAACACGUUUGAGAGUAACUGUUCAGACGUUGACGGUAUUCAACCAGAAAGCCACGGCUAACUACGUGCCAGCAGCCGCGGUAAUACGUAGGUGGCAAGCGUUAUCCGGAUUUAUUGGGCGUAAAGCGAGCGCAGGCGGUUUUUUAAGUCUGAUGUGAAAGCCCUCGGCUUAACCGAGGAAGUGCAUCGGAAACUGGGAAACUUGAAUGCUGAAGAGGACAGUGGAACUCCAUGUGUAGCGGUGAAAUGCGUAGAUAUAUGGAAGAACACCAGUGGCGAAGGCGGCUGUCUGGUCAGUUAUUGACGCUGAGGCUCGAAAGCAUGGGUAGCGAACAGGAUUAGAUACCCUUGUAGUCC
Molecule: ribosomal RNA, 450 nt
Filed under: uncultured bacterium
Lineage: Bacteria
Description: bacterial SSU rRNA
Rfam family: Bacterial small subunit ribosomal RNA
Source: RNAcentral